This 425-nucleotide ribosomal RNA is filed under the name uncultured bacterium. RNAcentral's name for it is "partial 16S ribosomal RNA". It matches the Rfam family "Bacterial small subunit ribosomal RNA", at positions 354 to 796 of the family's 1533-position model. The record is from RNAcentral.
GUUAGGAAUAUUGGACAAUGGGCGAAAGCCUGAUCCAGCCAUGCCGCGUGAACGAUGAAGGCCUUCGGGUUGUAAAGUUCUUUAGCCGAUGAUUAUAAUGACUGUAGUCGGAAAAUAAGCCCCGGCUAACUUCGUGCCAGCAGCCGCGGUAAUACGAAGGGGGUGAGCGUUAUUCGGAAUCACUGGGCGUAAAGCGUGCGUAGGCGGUUUUGUAAGUUAGGAGUGAAAGCCCAGGGCUCAACCUUGGAAUUGCUCUUAAAACUGCAAGGCUCGAAUCUCGGAGAGGAUAGCGGAAUUUCCAGUGUAGCAGUGAAAUGCGUAGAUAUUGGAAGGAACACCAGUGGCGUAAGCGGCUAUCUGGACGAGUAUUGACGCUGAGGCACGAAAGCGUGGGGAUCAAACAGGAUUAGAAACCCGGGUAGUCC